Long non-coding RNA from Acinonyx jubatus (cheetah), 3594 nucleotides. RefSeq lists it as uncharacterized. The record is from RefSeq and is a predicted model, not a curated record. The transcript is spliced from 3 exons. NCBI's taxonomy places the organism in Eukaryota, Metazoa, Chordata, Mammalia, Carnivora, Felidae.
GCGGGCUCCCCGCCCCCCCCCCGCGCCGAGUCCCAGAGCCUUCCGCAGGGCCGAGGGGUCGUCGCCAGCUCACCGGCAGCAGAGCCGGGCGGACCGCGCCCAGGGCUGACUCACAUCGCGCUCACUGCUGACCUCGCUCAGGCUGAGCUACAAGACCUGGAGCAACUCAGCUGCUUCCGAAAACGGAGAUAAACUUCUACUAAAUACCAUCUGAGCCUAUUCCUGCACAAAAGAGAGACUGAAGAAAAGAAAUUUGGGCCAAAUUCCAUAUUCCUGUCCUCUUUCAUGGCAGAAAAUUGGUCAAAGGCACCACAGUAGCAUGAAACCGAAAAGGAGUAGCAUCGCCUACUGAAUGUUUAAGGUCCCUGCCCAUGCCUAUGCUGUUCUUCUCCCCAGAAUGCCUAGCCACCUAACAAGUAGCUCUAUCACCCUUCCUUUACCCACCCUCCAGUUUGAGCCCUUUUCCCAGUCACCCUAUCCAUGCUUCAGGAGGCACCGAAAGUCUAUAUAGUAAGUACACCAAAGUGAUACACAGCAGCACAAAGCCAUAGUGAACUGAGAGAACUCACUGGGAAAAAAAUCAACCAAUCUGGGAACCUCUAGAUACCGGUCCUCAGCUGCACCCAGCUUGUGGCCCCAACAUGGACUGAUUUACUCUCAGACAGUAUUAACUGGCAUAAGUAGUUAGUUAUCCAAACUUGAGUGCCAACUUUAAGAGGGCCAUUCAGCUUUGAUAUGAUUCCAUAACAACUACCUUUAUCGGGCGCCUACAACAAUCUGGCCACCUGCUUCAUGCUUACCAUCCCUACCCCAUAAAUGAGGAAACUGAGACUCAAAGAAGUUAGGCCACUUGGAGUUAAACCACUUCCCUGAGGUCGCAGAGCCAGCAAGUGUCAGAAUCUGGAUACAAACCCAAGUCUUUCUGGCUCUAAAGUUCCUACUGCACAGAGGGUACUUUUACAAAGUAAUAAAGACAAAUAAUAGUAAACCAUUCUUCAAGAACACACUCUUGCAGAAGGACGUUGCUAAUGUCUGCUUCCUUGAGUUCUAUACACAUCUCCAGAGCAGCCCUCUACAGGCAAGCUCCUGCAGGGAACACUGUGAUAAUGCAACAGAAAACCAUCCUGUUGGCUACCCUGCCAGAUAGUCCUAAGUUUGUAGGUACAUUAGCUGAGCCCCAAAACUGCCAAGUGCAAGUCCACUGGUGGAUCGCAGCUCUAACAAAGCAGCUUACCAAGAAAAAAAAAAGUGAGAAUUUGAAUGUAUUUUCUAUACUCAAGUUGGGGCCCAAGAACUCUGCUGGAGGGCAAGGGAACAGGAAGUGAGGAGGGAGCAAGCAUCCACUUCCCAAGGGCAGCAAAGCCCAGAGGUGGGAGCCUGGUCACAUGCAGUUGCAUUACUUGUCCACGCCCACUUCCGGCCAGAGCCUGCCUCUUCACCUCUAAGUCAGUACUUUGAAGGAAAGCAAAACACUACCAGAAACUCUCCUUAUAAUCUCUCUCUCCUCUUGAAGCAUGUGUCUUGAAUGAAUUUCCACCCCUGCUCUCCGGCUCCACCCCUCACAAAUACACUUAAGAAAAGCAUCUGUCACAUAAUUGACCUAUGUGGCUUAACAUCAAGUCUGACAUCAUGGAAAGGUUAAGGUUAGUGCUUCUCCAACCCCAGUAUAAGAGGGAACCCUAGGGCAGAGGGAACUGUGCACCAACAACCUACUAAUGCACAACAAAGUAGUCUAUCUAUUUGAAAGCUCACUACUCUUUCCCAUACCAUAAACAACAGCCAAGCACUCUGCUUGUCUGAAUUUUCUUCUAAGAUUUCAAACAAGGUGAGAGGGCUUUUAGAGCUGUUUAUCUCUGUGCAUAACAUGCACUGCCAUGAAGAAAUGCCACAGGAUUCCAAAAACACACUGCCACUGACUUCAAGAAAAGCGAAGCUGAAAAUGCUCCUGCCAGUGACCAUCCCAGAUUCUCUUUUUUCUCAGAUUAUAGUCACAGUCAUCCUGAAUCAACUAGUGCCAACAGCCAACAAUCACCCAGGAAAAUGCCAUGAUUUUUGCCUCCUUUAAGAUGGAGGAAACAGAAGCAGAGUCCAGUGAGUAAGUUAGAGUAGUAGUGAGGUUUCACUUCUAAACCUCCAAGAAACUCCACCCCAAACUCCCAACAUCCAGGGAUAUUCCCAAAGAAGCUCUGCAAUAGUCUUUCAUUUGAUUGUUUUCUUCUCUGUGACUGGGAUUAAGUUCCUUGAGAGCUGACUUCAUCUAUCCUACUCACUGUUAGGCUGCCAGCACCCAGCAUGGUAAACCUGGUGCAACGUCGUCACACAAACAUUUACUGCUGGAUUAUUUGCUGAUAUAGGAAGUUACAUGAGCCAGAAUAUUUAACACUAUUUUUCAAUCCAAUUUAAGUUGCGUUAAAAAAAAAAAAAAAAAAUGCCCUGGGGCCCUAGGUGGCUCAGUGGGUUCGUGAUCUUGCAGUCCAUGGGUUCGGGCCCCGCGUCAGCCUCUGUGCAGACAGCUCGGAGCCUGGAGCCUGCUUCUGAUUCUGUGUCUCCCUCUCUCUCUGCCCCUCCCCCACUCAUGCUCUGUCUCUCAAAAGUGAAUAAAUGUUAAAAAAAAAUUUUUUUUAAUGCCCUACCUUAUGUCCACACAAGAAAAGUCUUGUUUAGUUGAGUGCUCAAACUGUCCCUUAUAGGCCGGUUUGAAGAGAUAAAUUAUUAUUCUAACAAUGCACCACAAUAAACAAAAGCAGCCGGGCUACAGACAGGAAAAAGCCAAAUUUAAUACUAGAAAUUAAAAAUAACACCUUCCAUGCAUUUGCAUGGAACAACUUCAUACAGUAGUUAUUUCCCAAUUCCAGAAGAGGUCAGUCUCUUUCUUAUCAUUAAGAUCCUACAGGGAUUUAAUGCCCCCAGUGCUGUCUCCAACAGGAAGGAAACCCUGACUUCCCUAGCUAUUUCAGUAAUAUAAAUCAACAGUUUAUCGUCCAGAGUUAGAAGCUGGGCAGUGUUGGGACCCAUAUGCCUUUUAGAGCUCCCCACCAACAGAUAACCAUGUUACAUUACAUCUAAUAAAUGUACCUAGAUCAAUAUCAUUUCUAACUAUCCAAGGGUUUUUACUGCUAUAAGGAUCUUUCAAAUUAAAAAAAAAAAAAAAAGUUUAAAAAACUUCCUGUUAGAUAAGAGACUUGGUGGUGACGCCACCAUCCACCAGAGUGAAGUCUGUGACACAAAAAGACACAGAACAAUUUCAAAAGGGAUAGUGAGCCCUUUAGAGUUAUUUACUUUAUUUUUUAUAUCUUAAAAAUAAUAAAGCUUUGUUCUUUUUUCUUUAAUGGAAUAACUGUCUUUAAAAGAAUUAAGAGGGGGCACCUGCACCUGCGUGGCUCAGUCAGUUAGUUCGGCUCAGGUCAUGAUCUCAUGGUUUGUGAGUUUGAGCCCCAAACUGGGCUCUCUGCUAUCAGCAAUGAGGAGCUGGCUUUGGAUCAUCUGUCCCCUUCUCUCUCUGCCCCUUCCCCCCUUGCACUCUCUCUCGCAAAAAUAAAACAUUUUUUAAAAAAAUUUUUUAAAAAGAGAGAAAUUUAAGAUUGGUGGAUUCUU